AAUCGCUGUUAAAAAUGAUUUUCGCGCAAAUUUCUCAAAGCUUCAGAAGACCCGUGAGUAAGUAAUAAGAAAACUGUAAGAUUUUCUGUAGAUUACAACUUGAUGUAGUAAAUUGACUUUUUUUUUAAAAAGAAAAAUAUUCAAUCAGUUCAGAUGCUGAAAACUCUUAUCGCUGAAGUUCAACCAGUAAGAAGUUGAUAAAGAGGAGCACAAAUUAACCAAACAAAUAUCACUUCACAAAAGAUCCUGCCGGAAAACUCACCUCAAAACCGAUAAGUCGCCG
Molecule: unclassified non-coding RNA, 283 nt
Filed under: Hevea brasiliensis (rubber tree)
Lineage: Eukaryota; Viridiplantae; Streptophyta; Magnoliopsida; Malpighiales; Euphorbiaceae
Source: RNAcentral